This 484-nucleotide ribosomal RNA is filed under the name uncultured bacterium. Its description in RNAcentral is "partial 16S ribosomal RNA". It matches the Rfam family "Bacterial small subunit ribosomal RNA", at positions 30 to 507 of the family's 1533-position model. The record is from RNAcentral.
AUUGAACGCUGGCGGCAGGCCUAACACAUGCCAGUCGAGCGGAUGAAGGGAGCUUGCUCCUGGAUUCAGCGGCGGACGGGUGAGUAAUGCCUAGGAAUCUGCCUGGUAGUGGGGGAUAACGUCCGGAAACGGGCGCUAAUACCGCAUACGUCCUGAGGGAGAAAGUGGGGGAUCUUCGGACCUCACGCUAUCAGAUGAGCCUAGGUCGGAUUAGCUAGUUGGUGGGGUAAAGGCCUACCAAGGCGACGAUCCGUAACUGGUCUGAGAGGAUGAUCAGUCACACUGGAACUGAGACACGGUCUAGACUCCUACGGGAGGCAGCAGUGGGGAAUAUUGGACAAUGGGCGAAAGCCUGAUCCAGCCAUGCCGCGUGUGUGAAGAAGGUCUUCGGAUUGUAAAGCACUUUAAGUUGGGAGGAAGGGCAGUAAGUUAAUACCUUGCUGUCUUGACGUUACCAACAGAAUAAGCACCGGCUAACUUCGUG